This 253-nucleotide ribosomal RNA is filed under the name uncultured bacterium. RNAcentral's name for it is "partial 16S ribosomal RNA". It matches the Rfam family "Bacterial small subunit ribosomal RNA", at positions 524 to 776 of the family's 1533-position model. The record is from RNAcentral.
UACGGGGGGGGCAAGCGUUGUUCGGAAUUACUGGGCGUAAAGGGCUCGUAGGUGGCCAACUAAGUCAGACGUGAAAUCCCUCGGCUUAACCGGGGAACUGCGUCUGAUACUGGAUGGCUUGAGUUCGGGAGAGGGAUGCGGAAUUCCAGGUGUAGCGGUGAAAUGCGUAGAUAUCAGGAGGAACACCGAUGGCGAAGGCAGGUCUCUGGGCCACUACUGACGCUGAGAAGCGAAAGCAUGGGGAGCGAACAGG